RNAcentral lists this ribosomal RNA (478 nucleotides) under uncultured bacterium. RNAcentral describes it as "partial 16S ribosomal RNA". It matches the Rfam family "Bacterial small subunit ribosomal RNA", at positions 28 to 523 of the family's 1533-position model. The record is from RNAcentral.
GACGAACGCUGGCGGCGUGCUUAACACAUGCAAGUCAAACGGUAAGGCCCUUCGGGGUACACGAGUGGCGAACGGGUGAGUAACACGUGGGUGAUCUGCCCUGCACUUCGGGAUAAGCCUGGGAAACUGGGUCUAAUACCGGAUAGGACCACUGCCUGCAUGGGUGGUGGUGGAAAGCUUUUGCGGUGUGGGAUGGGCCCGCGGCCUAUCAGCUUGUUGGUGGGGUGAUGGCCUACCAAGGCGACGACGGGUAGCCGGCCUGAGAGGGUGACCGGCCACACUGGGACUGAGAUACGGCCCAGACUCCUAUGGGAGGCAGCAGUGGGGAAUAUUGCACAAUGGGCGCAAGCCUGAUGCAGCGACGCCGCGUGAGGGAUGACGGCCUUCGGGUUGUAAACCUCUUUCAGCACCGACGAAGCGCAAGUGACGGUAGGUGCAGAAGAAGGACCGGCCAACUACGUGCCAGCCGCCGCCGCAG